GCCCGAAAUCCGGGAUCUUAAUGCUGAGAGCUGAUGACGGUGAGUCCACGGACUCCGAAGUAGUUGAUGCCAUGCUUCCAAGAAAAGCCUCUAAGCUUCAGGUAACAUGCGACCGUACCCCAAACCGACACAGGUGGUCAGGUAGAGAAUACCAAGGCGCUUGAGAGAACUCGGGUGAAGGAACUAGGCAAAUUGGCACCGUAACUUCGGGAGAAGGUGCGCCGAUGUUGGUGAAGGACUUGCUCCGUAAGCUGACGUCGGUCGAAGAUACCAGGCCGCUGCAACUGUUUAUUAAAAACACAGCACUCUGCAAACACGAAAGUGGACGUAUAGGGUGUGACGCCUGCCCGGUGCCGGAAGGUUAAUUGAUGGGGUUAGCGCAAGCGAAGCUCUUGAUCGAAGCCCCGGUAAACGGCGGCCGUAACUAUAACGGUCCUAAGGUAGCGAAAUUCCUUGUCGGGUAAGUUCCGACCUGCACGAAUGGCGUAAUGAUGGCGGCACUGUCUCCACCCGAGACUCAGUGAAAUUGAAAUCGCUGUGAAGAUGCAGCGUUCCCGCGGCUAGACGGAAAGACCCCGUGAACCUUUACUAUAGCUUCGCAGUGGACUUUGAACUUACUUGUGUAGGAUAGCUGGGAGGCUUUGAAGCGAGGACGCCAGUUCUUGUGGAGCCAAUCUUGAAAUACCAGCCUGGUGAGUUUGAGGUUCUAACUCUGGUCCGUAAUCCGGAUCGAGGACACUGCGUGGUGGGUAGUUUGACUGGGGCGGUCUCCUCCCAAAGAGUAACGGAGGAGCACGAAGGUUGGCUAAGCAUGGUCGGAAAUCAUGCGGUUAGUGUAAUGGCACAAGCCAGCUUGACUGCGAGACAGACACGUCGAGCAGGUACGAAAGUAGGUCAUAGUGAUCCGGUGGUUCUGUAUGGAAGGGCCAUCGCUCAACGGAUAAAAGGUACUCCGGGGAUAACAGGCUGAUACCGCCCAAGAGUUCACAUCGACGGCGGUGUUUGGCACCUCGAUGUCGGCUCAUCACAUCCUGGGGCUGAAGCCGGUCCCAAGGGUAUGGCUGUUCGCCAUUUAAAGUGGUACGCGAGCUGGGUUUAGAACGUCGUGAGACAGUUCGGUCCCUAUCUGCCGUGGGCGUUUGAGAUUUGAGAAGAGUUGCUCCUAGUACGAGAGGACCGGAGUGAACGAACCUCUGGUGUUCCGGUUGUCACGCCAGUGGCAUUGCCGGGUAGCUAUGUUCGGACGGGAUAAACGCUGAAAGCAUCUAAGCGUGAAGCCUCCUUCAAGAUGAGAUCUCACUGGGACCUUGAGUCCCCUGAAGGGCCGUUGAAGACUACAACGUUGAUAGGCUGGGUGUGGAAGCGUUGUGAGGCGUUAGGCUA
RNAcentral lists this ribosomal RNA (1383 nucleotides) under metagenome. RNAcentral's name for it is "bacterial LSU rRNA". It matches the Rfam family "Bacterial large subunit ribosomal RNA", at positions 1532 to 2893 of the family's 2925-position model. The record is from RNAcentral.